Molecule: small RNA, 314 nt
Filed under: Histoplasma capsulatum var. duboisii H88
Lineage: Eukaryota; Fungi; Ascomycota; Eurotiomycetes; Onygenales; Ajellomycetaceae
Description: Histoplasma capsulatum H88 hypothetical RNA
Source: RNAcentral
GCCUGGUGUGGUGAAAUCUAGUGACCGCUGGGAACUGACUCCCUACCAGAUUUUGAUAUCUCAACACCGGCAGCUCAAACAUCAACUGGCUCUUCAGUGUACAAGCCGAUGACCUGUUAGCAUGACCUCGCCUCUGGUAGCGAUCACAACACCAACCGUGCCGACAAAAAUUGGUCCUAAAACUUCUGACUUCGACGUUGCUAAUUGAAUCUGGGAGAGUUCAAAUUCCCGGGCAGUGGUAAUUUCUAAUUCCAUUAACUAAACUGCAUACUGGCGCAAAGCGAAAACUUGCGAAAAAAAACCAACAACACUGA